This 1660-nucleotide ribosomal RNA is filed under the name Gammaproteobacteria bacterium. RNAcentral's name for it is "bacterial SSU rRNA". It matches the Rfam family "Archaeal small subunit ribosomal RNA". Lineage: Bacteria; Pseudomonadati; Pseudomonadota; Gammaproteobacteria. The record is from RNAcentral.
AAUAUCAACUCCGCUUGAUCCUGGCGGACCCAACUGCUAUCGGGGUGAGAUUAAGCCAUGCGAGUUGUGCGUUCCUUGGCUAUGUUAGGGACGCAGCACACGGCUCAGUAACAUGUGGUUAACCUACCCUCAGGACAGUAACAACCCCGGGAAACUGGGGCUAAUUUCUGAUAGAUGAGGAAGUCUGGAAUGACUCUUCGUUUAAAGGGUAUUGAGGACAUGCCUCUCAGUAUUGCCUGAGGAUGGGACCGCACCCGAUCAGGUUGUUGGUGAGGUAAAGGCUCACCAAGCCUAUGACCGGUACGGGCCUUGAGAGAGGUAGCCCGGAGAUGGGCACUGAGACAAGGGCCCAGGCCCUACGGGGCGCAGCAGGCGCGAAACCUCCGCAAUGCACGAAAGUGUGACGGGGUCACCCCGAGUGCCAUCCGCUGAGGGUGGCUUUUGCUCGGUGUAAUGAGCCGAGUGAAUAAGGGGUGGGCAAGUCUGGUGUCAGCCGCCGCGGUAAUACCAGCACCUCAAGUGGUCAGGACGAUUAUUGGGUCUAAAGCGUCCGUAGCCGGCCGGAAAAGUUCACCGUUAAAUCCGACGAUUCAAUCGUCGGGCUGCGGAGAAUACUCUUCGGCUUGGGGGCGGGGGAGGUCGGCGGUAGUCCCGGGGUAGGGGCGAAAUCCUAUAAUCCCGGGAGGACCACCAGUGGCGAAGGCGGUCGACUAAAACGCGCCCGACGGUGAGGGACGAAAGCUGGGGGAGCGAACGGGAUUAGAUACCCCGGUAGUCCCAGCUGUAAACAAUGCAGGCUAGGUGUCGGGAUGGCUACGGGCCAGCUCGGUGCCGCAGGGAAGCCAUUAAGCCUGCCACCUGGGAAGUACGGUCGCAAGGCUGAAAUCCGGAAAGGCUUACAAUGUUCAGUGCUAACUGAGAUCAAAUUAAGAUAAUUCGAGGGCGCGCGCGUCCUUGGCAUAAAAUCAAUUGUUCUUGACUGAGCUUUUUGGUUCAGUAUUUUAUCGAUGGUGAGUCUUCCUGACAGCAUACUUAAAGGAAUUGGCGGGGGAGCACCACAAGGGGUGAAGCUUGCGGUUUAAUUGGAGUCAACACCGGGAAUCUUACCAGGAGCGACAGCUGGAUGAAAGUCAGAUUAAAGGUCUUACUGGACUAGCUGAGAGGAGGUGCAUGGCCGUCGCCAGUUCGUGCCGUGAGGUGUUCUCUUAAGUGAGACAACGAACGAGACCCGUGCCUCUAGUUGCCAUCGGGUUCCUUCGGGAAUCCAGGCACACUAGGGGGACUGCUUCCGCUAAGGAGGAGGAAGGAGCGGGCCACGGCAGGUCAGUAUGCCCCAGAUCUCCUGGGCCACACGCGAGCUGCAAUGGUUGGGACAAUGGGUUCCGACCCCGAGAAGGGAAGGUAAUCCCUAAACCCAGCCUCAGUUGGGAUCGAGGGCUGCAACUCGCCCUCAUGAACAUGGAAUCCCUAGUAACCGCGUGUCAUUAUCGCGCGGUGAAUACGUCCCUGCUCCUUGCACACACCGCCCGUCGCUCCACCCGAGUUUGGUUUGGGUGAGGCAUGGUCUAGUUGGCCAUGUCGAACCUAAGUUAGACAAGGGGGGAAAAGUCGUAACAAGGUGACCGUAGGGGAACCUGCGGUCGGAUCACCUCCUUAGAAA